RNAcentral lists this unclassified non-coding RNA (381 nucleotides) under Hevea brasiliensis (rubber tree). The record is from RNAcentral. Lineage: Eukaryota; Viridiplantae; Streptophyta; Magnoliopsida; Malpighiales; Euphorbiaceae.
GGAAAUUCAACGAGCAUUGUAUCUCCUGCUUCUGUUGUUUAUGAAGAUCAUCCCGAAGGGUAUGAUUGGGAGAGAGGUUGUCUGAUUCGGUGUCAGCUUCGGAUUAAAUUGCCAUUUUGUAUUCCUAUAGUUCUAAUUUGGCAAGUCCUUUAUUUAUGACUUGUUAGGGCUGGGGUUGUGCUUAACGAUCUCUACAAAGUAUCAUUUCAUGGUUCAGACUCGAGCACUAUCUUUCAUAGAAAUUCCUUCUCAUAGUUAUAAAAAGUUCACCACUGGCCACUGGUAAUGUAACAGAGUUUUCAAUAUUGCUGUUACAAUGUGCUAUCUAAGAGUACUGUUUUUCCAUUGAAUCAUUUAUCUAAGAGAGAGAGAGAGAGAGAG